GUUACUUCAAAGGAUAUUUAACUUAAACCCCCUACGCAUUUAUAUAGAGGAGAUAAGUCGUAACAUGGUAAGUGUACUGGAAAGUGCACUUGGACGAAC
This 99-nucleotide ribosomal RNA is filed under the name Pan paniscus (pygmy chimpanzee). Its description in RNAcentral is "partial 12S rRNA". Lineage: Eukaryota; Metazoa; Chordata; Mammalia; Primates; Hominidae. The record is from RNAcentral.